RNAcentral lists this ribosomal RNA (253 nucleotides) under uncultured bacterium. Its description in RNAcentral is "partial 16S ribosomal RNA". It matches the Rfam family "Bacterial small subunit ribosomal RNA", at positions 524 to 776 of the family's 1533-position model. The record is from RNAcentral.
UACGUAGGGUGCGAGCGUUAAUCGGAAUUACUGGGCGUAAAGUGUGCGCAGGCGGCCGCGCAAGUCGAGUGUGAAAGCCCCGGGCUUAACUUGGGAAUUGCGCUCGAAACUACGUGGCUCGAGUGUGGCAGAGGAAGGUGGAAUUCCACGUGUAGCGGUGAAAUGCGUAGAGAUGUGGAGGAACACCGAUGGCGAAGGCAGCCUUCUGGGCCAACACUGACGCUCAUGCACGAAAGCGUGGGGAGCAAACAGG